AGUGAACGCUGGCGGUAGGCCUAACACAUGCAAGUCGAACGGCAGCACAGUAAGAGCUUGCUCUUACGGGUGGCGAGUGGCGGACGGGUGAGGAAUACAUCGGAAUCUACUUUUUCGUGGGGGAUAACGUAGGGAAACUUACGAUAAUACCGCAUACGACCUACGGGUGAAAGCAGGGGAUAUUCGGACCUUGCGCGAUUGAAUGAGCCGAUGUUGGAUUAGCUAGUUGGCGGGGUAAAGGCCCACCAAGGCGACGAUCCGUAGCUGGUCUGAGAGGCUGAUCACCCACACUGGAACUGAGACACGGACCAGACUCCUACGGGAGGCAGCAGUGGGGAAUAUUGGACAAUGGGCGCAAGCCUGACCCAGCCAUACCGCGUGGGUGAAGAAGGCCUUCGGGUUGUAAAGCCCUUUUGUUGGUAAAGAAAAGCAUCAGGUUAAUACCCCGCUGUUCUGACGGUACCCAAAGAAGAAGCACCGGCUAACUUCGUG
This 492-nucleotide ribosomal RNA is filed under the name uncultured bacterium. Its description in RNAcentral is "partial 16S ribosomal RNA". It matches the Rfam family "Bacterial small subunit ribosomal RNA", at positions 29 to 507 of the family's 1533-position model. The record is from RNAcentral.